RNAcentral lists this microRNA precursor (65 nucleotides) under Macaca nemestrina (pig-tailed macaque). RNAcentral's name for it is "miRNA (ENSMNEG00000016368.1)". Lineage: Eukaryota; Metazoa; Chordata; Mammalia; Primates; Cercopithecidae. The record is from RNAcentral.
UGGUGCAAAAGUAAUUGCGGUUUUUGCCAUUGAACGUAAUGGCAACACAGCCAUUACAUUUGCAC